Molecule: long non-coding RNA, 413 nt
Organism: Dreissena polymorpha
Lineage: Eukaryota; Metazoa; Mollusca; Bivalvia; Myida; Dreissenidae
Exons: 2
Source: RefSeq, a predicted model, not a curated record
AAUAGAAAGUACAUUUAUGUUUACAAUUAAAGUGCAUUUGCAUGUAUCUAAACUUUUCUGGAUUACUUAUUGAUUUAUCUUCACCAAUUAAGUUUUCAAUCGCAUUUUUAAAUAAAUAUUGUCUACAAAUGGCAAUAAACAUGCCUAGAUAAACUUGUUAAAGUUGAAAAUGAUUCAAAAGAUGGAAACAGUAACAGCAAUACAGUCGAUUGGUGUAUAGCGGAUUAUAUAGUGUAAUUUCUCUGUACAAUCGCCUGAUUUCCAAACGCCGCACUCCUGUGAACGAAACGCCUCGUUCCUGUGGACGCGUUACGCGGGUGCGUACUGCGGUGGGGGUUGUGGGUAGCCGCCUGGUUGUCCUGGAUAUGGACCGGGUUGACCUGAAUACGGAGCCGGUUGCCCGGGAUAAGGGG